GGUUGACACUGGUCUACUACCAGGUCAUGUGUCUUCUCAGUCAUGUUGACACUGGUCUACUACCAGGGCAUGUGUCUUCUCAGUCAUGUUGACACUGGUCUACUACCAGGUCAUGUGUCUUCUCAGUCAUGUUGACACUGGUCUACUACCAGGUCAUGUGUCUUCUCAGUCAGGUUGACACUGGUCUACUACCAGGUCAUGUGUCUUCUCAGUCAUGUUGACACUGGUCUACUACCAGGUCAUGUGUCUUCUCAGUCAUGUUGACACUGGUCUACUACCAGGUCAUGUGUCUUCUCAGUCAUGUUGACACUGGUCUACUACCAGGUCAUGUGUCUUCUCAGUCAUGUUGACACUGGUCUACUACCAGGUCAUGUGUCUUCUCAGUCAGGUUGACACUGGUCUACUACCAGGUCAUGUGUCUUCUCAGUCAUGUUGACACUGGUCUACUACCAGGUCAUGUGUCUUCUCAGUCAUGUUGACACUGGUCUACUACCAGGUCAUGUGUCUUCUCAGUCAGGUUGACACUGGUCUACUACCAGGUCAUGUGUCUUCUCAGUCAGGUUGACACUGGUCUACUACCAGGUCAUGUGUCUUCU
Molecule: long non-coding RNA, 596 nt
Organism: Oncorhynchus keta (chum salmon)
Lineage: Eukaryota; Metazoa; Chordata; Actinopteri; Salmoniformes; Salmonidae
Exons: 4
Source: RefSeq, a predicted model, not a curated record